UGUAGCUCAGUGGUAGAGCGCUUGCCUGGUGCUUGUGAGGCCCUGGGUUCAAUCCCCAGCA
This 61-nucleotide transfer RNA is filed under the name Ictidomys tridecemlineatus (thirteen-lined ground squirrel). RNAcentral's name for it is "Spermophilus tridecemlineatus (thirteen-lined ground squirrel) tRNA". It matches the Rfam family "tRNA", at positions 6 to 65 of the family's 71-position model. Rfam says of the family: Transfer RNA (tRNA) molecules are approximately 80 nucleotides in length. Their secondary structure includes four short double-helical elements and three loops (D, anti-codon, and T loops). Further hydrogen bonds mediate the characteristic L-shaped molecular structure. tRNAs have two regions of fundamental functional importance: the anti-codon, which is responsible for specific mRNA codon recognition, and the 3' end, to which the tRNAs corresponding amino acid is attached (by aminoacyl-tRNA synthetases). tRNAs cope with the degeneracy of the genetic code in two manners: having more than one tRNA (with a specific anti-codon) for a particular amino acid; and 'wobble' base-pairing, i.e. permitting non-standard base-pairing at the 3rd anti-codon position. The record is from Rfam by way of RNAcentral. Lineage: Eukaryota; Metazoa; Chordata; Mammalia; Rodentia; Sciuridae.